GAACCGUACAAACGUUAUUCGGAAUCACUGGGCUUAAAGGGUGCGUAGGCGGCUUGGCAAGUUGGGUGUGAAAUCCCUCGGCUCAACCGAGGAACUGCGCCCAAAACUGCCAGGCUUGAGGGAGAUAGAGGUGAGCGGAACUUAGGGUGGAGCGGUGAAAUGCGUUGAUAUCCUAAGGAACACCGGUGGCGAAGGCGGCUCACUGGAUCUCUUCUGACGCUGAGGCACGAAAGCUAGGGUAGCGAACGGGGAUUAGAUACCCCGGUAGUCCUAGCUGUAAACGAUGAGCACUGGGUUGGAGGCCCCCCCCCCCCAUAGGCUUCCGGCCGAAGCGAAAGUGUUAAGUGCUCCGCCUGGGGAGUAUGGUCGCAAGGCUG
This 377-nucleotide ribosomal RNA is filed under the name uncultured organism. RNAcentral describes it as "partial 16S ribosomal RNA". It matches the Rfam family "Bacterial small subunit ribosomal RNA", at positions 527 to 896 of the family's 1533-position model. The record is from RNAcentral.